This 402-nucleotide ribosomal RNA is filed under the name uncultured bacterium. RNAcentral's name for it is "bacterial SSU rRNA". It matches the Rfam family "Bacterial small subunit ribosomal RNA", at positions 355 to 773 of the family's 1533-position model. The record is from RNAcentral.
UGAGGAAUUUUCCGCAAUGGAGGCAACUCUGACGGAGCAACGCCGCGUGCAGGAGGACGGCCUUCGGGUUGUAAACUGCUUUUCUGUGGGAAGAGUUCGGACGGUACCACAGGAACAAGCCCCGGCUAACUACGUGCCAGCAGCCGCGGUAAUACGUAGGGGGCAAGCGUUGUCCGGAGUUACUGGGCGUAAAGGGCACGCAGGCGGUUGUGUCAGUUUGCGGGGACAGUGGGUGGCUUAACUACCCAAGGGUCGCAAAGACGGCACGACUGGAGAGCGAGAGAGGGACCUGGAACUCCGGGUGGAGCGGUGAAAUGCGUAGAGAUCCGGAAGAACACCACUGGCGCAGGCAAGGUCCUGGCUCGUAUCUGACGCUGAGGUGCGAAAGCUAGGGGAGCGAAC